Molecule: non-coding RNA, 4110 nt
Organism: Cricetulus griseus (Chinese hamster)
Lineage: Eukaryota; Metazoa; Chordata; Mammalia; Rodentia; Cricetidae
Source: RefSeq, a predicted model, not a curated record
GUUUCUCUUUUGGGCUUGUGUACAGACUGCUGCCACGCCGGCUGGCUAGGUCGCUCUGGGAGGAGCAUCAAAGGCAGCAACAGAAACAAGCACCCACAGCUAAGAACUGAACCAUACUCCUGGAAUCCAUUUGCUGAGAGGGAGGAGUGAUGAGCAAAGAAGGAAAGGUUGACAAAAGAAGACCAGAAGAUACAGAUGCCUGCAGCCAAACCAGAUGCCAAGAGACUAACUGAUAGGUUUCCACAUGGUAGAAAAUUAAUUAGUUCCCAAAACUUCCAUAAAAUGUCCUCUGAACCCCACAUAUAUGCUGUGGCUUGCAUGUGGCCAUAUACCUAUUUAGUUAAGUAAGUUAAAUGAUUUAAAACAUCAAAUCCAUAAGACAGACAACACAAAUAGAUAUAAACUAAGCAACCAGAAUCUAUACAUCUUCAGAAGAGGAAAUAUCUAUGGCCAGUAGCUACAGGAAAGGAUGUUUAAUUAGAGGAAAUCUUGGUUUUCAUCCAAGGUUAUUUACUAGAUUACCAACAUGUAAACCCCUAAAAUUACUAAUAUUUUUCUAGGGCAUGAAGUUUACAUACCAACUCUGUAUAUACAAAUUGUUGUAAGACUUUGACAGUAUAGCAAAAUUUUAUGAAAUUGGAAUAAUGUUCUCUGAUCUAUUAAAAAUCCAUUUGUCAUGAAAAUUGAAGACUAUACCAUAAUGUUAAGCUUGUCAUUAUCUUAAUAGAACUCCAGUAUCUACCAAUAAAGUAAUAGAAAUUAAUGGAAAUGCUUUUCUGUAAUGAAAUAUGUAGGCAACUAGAAAUAUAGAAUAAUUGUGCUUUGUCUAUCAAAAUUGGUUUCAUAAAUACAAUGCCACUGACUGAACAGUGAUUGGAAGAGACAGAUACCAAAGAAUACUUGCAGGCUCUGAUGGCAGCAUCUACAAAUCUACACUUUAUUACAGGAAAUGUAAUUGUGGUAAUAAUUUGUUAAGAAUAAUACAGCAGCAGCUCAUUGUUGUCUAUCAGCUGUCUGGAAUGCUGGCACCAAGUUGUCUCUUCUUCCCUCAGCACAUAUCCAAUACAAAAACCAUAUGACAUUUGGAAAAUAUAUACUAGAAACCACACAGUGCCCCAUUGCUUCAGUCAGAGUUUCACAUGCAUUACUGUCUACACAAGGUCAACCUUCCAAUGCAUCACAUUAAUAUUAUAGUCUCCUAUGUUACCAACAUAAAUCUUACCAUCAUCAGUAAAUAAUUCUUGCAAGCUGUAUAUCAACAGCUUGUUUUGAAGAUUGCUAGGGAAUUCCAUUGAUCAGAGUGUUUCCAGACUUUGUUAGGGUAAUGGCCAUGCUAGUACUUGAACAACAUUCUACAUAUUAUUUCUGGAUUAACCUUCACAACCAUAUAAAAGGAAAAUAAGAAACACAUAUACAGCAUGGUAUUAUUCAGAAAAUGAUUAAAUGCUACAAAGGGAUGUGUGUGAGUAUAAAUACAUAAUUUUUGUAAACAAACUGUUAAAGUAUAAACUACACAUAUAUUGUGAAAGUAUAAACACACGAGAUAUAAUCUUCACACAAUUCUGAAAAUAAUAACUAAGACAAAACCUUGAAUAACAUGAGUUAGAUAAAAAUACUUUUAAAAGAUAUAAGAAUAAUUUCUAUAUGAAUUUAGAAUUUAGGAACAUGACUGUGUGUGAAAAAAACUGUAUAAUGUGAGUUACAAAGAACUAGAUGUAAUAAAAGUGGCAUCAUCAUCACCAUUAUGCACCAAAUCUACUGAACAAAAAUAGUAAUGAUAGCCUCGUAGGAUGUAAUAGGGUUGCACCUUGCUACGUUUCCCUCCACAAUCAUUCUUCCCUAAUAUACCUAGACACGUGCAGUCUGCUUUGGUCAACUAGUUUGAAAUGGAGUGCUGGAAAGAUCUGUGAACAAAAAUCUUUUUUUUUUAUCAGCCUGAUAGCUGGUAUUAGCCAAUCCCUAAAGCUGAUUAUUCUCAUUUCAAUAAUGUCAACAAUCUGUACCUGACAAUGAAUAGCAUUUCUCCAAAUCCUUGCUUUCUCAUGCAUUUAGAAGCCUGUACAGUACCUUUUCGGUUUUUCCUAAUCUCCUCUAAUCAUCUGUACUCCAAGUACAUCACCCUGAGUUUAUGAACGGGGACCCUAUUUUACAGUAAAUAUUGAUGAAAUCACAAAUCAGGUUCUAUACACAGCCACACCCAAAACUUUUGAUAUAAAAUAUCUGAAAUGCUCUUUACACUUUAACUUUUUGUGUAAGUGGUUGGCCCUAUUCUCUCUGAUCGAUAUAUUGGCAGAGCUAUACUGAUAUUGUUAUCUUAUGUCUUAUCAAAUAUUUAGUCAUGCCUCAUUCUUAUUAAAUAAUUUAGUUAUUUCUUCUAUUUUCAUAAACUCUACAGAUAUCAUUUUUAAUACCUGAUAUGUCCCUGGUCAUGCUCCCCUGUUCUGAAAAUCUGCCAGUAAUUUUUCAUAAUUAGUAAUCCCACUGAUAUCACUAUAUCACAUUCACUGUGAAAUUGUGUCUUUUGGUAAAAUUCAAUAAUAAUUAUUAUUCAGCACAACUCCAUAUGUCCAUGGAGCAAAAGUACACUGCUCUAUUUAUCUCCUAAUUAUACCAGAUACCAUAUCUGUUUUGCUUUCCUCCUGUUAUACAACUAAUUGCUCAUCAUCAUUCUCCAUCACUAGUUCUACUGCUCUUUGUAUUGUUUAUGUUGGCAUAUUCCAUGCCUCUAUUUUAAAACAUGUGUUUUUAGAUGAACACUUUUUCAUACAUGUCUCUAUUCCUCAUCCUUCUUUAAUAGCCUUUGUAACAUACUUUGCAAAUAUGGCUUUCUUAAUUUUGCCUACUUUUUUCUCUCACUACUGUUCUUUUUUUAAAUUCUAUGAAAAUACAAUUCACCAGCAUCUUUCCCCUCUAUUAGUCUACUGGCACCUGAGCAAGUUUAGCAGUACCUGAAAUCUCUUGGGUAUCUAAAUGCCUGUUCUCCUGAGGCUGUUACAAAUUCUUCUGUCAUUAAGUUUAAGUUAGAGGUUAAAGACAAGCAUAGAAUUGUGAUCAUAACAAGAAUAUUAGACAUUGAUAACUAACAUGAGCAAAUAGUUGGCUAGGGUUAUACAUGCAAAUUUGUCUUUUUUCUAGACAUCCACACGAAAAUUGCUGGGAUGAUUCCAGGAUAUAAUAACCUCAAGGCCAUGUAGUCAGUCAUUCUUCCCCUUAAGUAACUAAUGGCAUAGAAAAGCAAUAGACAUUACUCACCAAUGAAAACAGGAGAUUUCUACCCCUGACUUAAGAGGAUGUCAAGUCAAUAAAGAAUUUCAUUGUUAUUUUUUCCAUAUGUGAUAUACGAGUGGAGAACACAGAAUUGCAUUUUGAUCAUAAAUAAUCAGUCAUAUGGAACCAAUCAUUUUGAUUAAUAUAAGUCAGUUGAAACAGAUUGUUAAUCACAAUAACAAUAAAGUAUCAGGACUCCUAUUGAAAGUUUUGUGAGAUCUGACAUUUUAAAUCAAAAGAAACUCAAUUAUUUAUCUAAGUCAUCUUGCAGUAGAAAAAGGAAGCUUAUGGCAUUAAAGCUACAUAAGGACACAUAGCAUUAGAAUUCUAGACAAAAUAAAUAUGUCACAUAGUCUAAAACUAAAUUAAAGAUAAGGUACAUUUUAGGAAUAUUGAAGUAUGUGUAAUAAUUUAAGGAACAUUAAUUAGGAUGAAAAUAAUGUCUUCCCCUACAUUGUAAAGCUUGAGAGUUUGAAUAUAAUAUUUUUUAACACAUACAACACUAAGUACUAAUUGUAUAAUGGUAAAUGAUUUAAUGAUAUAUAAUUACUUAAAAUAUCAUCAAAGAAAAUUAUUUCCUAUAUCAAGAAAUUAUAUUUAAAAAGUAUGUUAUUUCAGGAGUACCGAUAAUCAUGGCUCAAAAAGUAACCAUUAGAGAGAUCUAAAUAGGUAGCAGACUACCAGUGAGGACCUGGAGGAAUGAGCAGGAAGACCAGAUGCCUACCAACUGCUACAGCUGUUGCCAUGGUCAGAAUCCCCACAGAGGGAGGACUCUACCUCCAGAGCCCUCACCCAGUGGCUGAUGGAAACAGAGACAGACAUCCACAGAUAUACAAUGAGCCG